UCCGCAUUGGUGUAACGGUCAACAUCGCCGGUUUUCAGUUAAGAAAGCCUCUACCCGGCAGCUCGGGGUUCGAUUCCCCGAUGCGGAA
Molecule: non-coding RNA, 88 nt
Organism: Knufia peltigerae
Lineage: Eukaryota; Fungi; Ascomycota; Eurotiomycetes; Chaetothyriales; Trichomeriaceae
Source: the annotation of a GenBank genome assembly